RNAcentral lists this ribosomal RNA (253 nucleotides) under uncultured bacterium. RNAcentral's name for it is "partial 16S ribosomal RNA". It matches the Rfam family "Bacterial small subunit ribosomal RNA", at positions 334 to 601 of the family's 1533-position model. The record is from RNAcentral.
UUUCCCUACGGGGCGCAGCAGUGGGGAAUAUUGGGCAAUGGGCGCAAGCCUGACCCAGCAACGCCGCGUGAAGGAAGAAGGCUUUCGGGUUGUAAACUUCUUUUCUCAGGGACGAAGCAAGUGACGGUACCUGAGGAAUAAGCCACGGCUAACUACGUGCCAGCAGCCGCGGUAAUACGUAGGUGGCAAGCGUUAUCCGGAUUUACUGGGUGUAAAGGGCGUGUAGGCGGGGACGCAAGUCAGAUGUGAAAUC